Sinocyclocheilus rhinocerous is the source of this 682-nucleotide long non-coding RNA. RefSeq lists it as uncharacterized. NCBI's taxonomy places the organism in Eukaryota, Metazoa, Chordata, Actinopteri, Cypriniformes, Cyprinidae. The transcript has 2 exons. The record is from RefSeq and is a predicted model, not a curated record.
AGGAGGGGAACGUAACAAUGGAUGUCUGUGUAUUUCUCUGCUUCUGUGUGCUGCUGUGACAAAUGAAGCGAGGACAGAAUCGUUGACGAAGGAAAAGAAUGAUUCCUCAGGAAAGCGAGUGAAUGAAUCAGUGGCUGUAGAGAUACCGCUGCUGAAUGACUAAGUUCCUGAUGGAGUGAAUGAGCAGAAGAGAGGAAGAGAGGAGGAGUUCACUUUAACAACACAAGACCCGCCCACUCCUGUCAAUCACUCUGACAUCAUCAACACUUCAGCUCCAGCUCCAGCAGCAACACAUGCUUCUGCUUUUAUGAGCCUAUAGACUCCGUCCAGGGAAAGUCAGAGAUAAAUCUGUGUGCUGAGCGGUUAAACUUGCAUGCAAGAAGCUUCAUACCUGUUACUCUGUUUAGCAUAGUAUUAGUCUGACUCUCACAGAUUUGAUUUUGUGUGAUUGUAGACAGUGAGUGUCAUACAUGCUUUUUAUAAGACGUUUUACCACAGCAGUAUUUCUUUAACCACUGCAUGUGCUGUUUUUAUAUAAUUAACUCCAGUAUCAGAUUAAUGUCCAGCAUUGAUUAGUGUCGCUAAAGCUGAGAUCACAUGACCUUCUUCUUCUUGUGUAUAGUGCCUUUGUAUUCAUGCUGAAGCACUUGCAACUAGCCUUCUUGCACUUGCAGCAAAAAAA